Molecule: ribosomal RNA, 497 nt
Filed under: uncultured bacterium
Lineage: Bacteria
Description: partial 16S ribosomal RNA
Rfam family: Bacterial small subunit ribosomal RNA
Source: RNAcentral
GAUGAACGCUGGCGGCGUGCCUAAUACAUGCAAGUCGAGCGAACAGACGAGUAGCUUGCUCCUCUGACGUUAGCGGCGGACGGGUGAGUAACACGUGGAUAACCUACCUAUAAGACUGGGAUAACUUCGGGAAACCGGUGCUAAUUCCGGAUAAUAUAUUGAACCGCAUGUUUCAAUAGUUAAAGACGGUUUUGCUGUCACUUCUCGAUGGAUCCGCGCCGCAUUAGCUAGUUGGUAAGGUAACGGCUUACCAAGGCAACGAUGCGUAGCCGACCUGAGAGGGUGGACGGACACACCGGAACUGAGACAAGGUACAGACUACUACGGGAGGCAGCAGAAGGGAAUGUUACGCAAUGGGCGAAAGCCUGACGGAGCAACGCCGCGUGAGUGAUGAAGGUAUUCGGAUCGUAGAACUCUGUUAUUAGGGAAGAACAAAUGUGUAAGUAACUAGGCACGUCUUGACGGUACCUAAUCAGAAAGCCACGGCUAACUACGUG